AUGAACGCUGGCGGCAGGCUUAACACAUGCAAGUCGAGCGGGGACGACUCGAAUAGCUUGCUAUCAGGCGUCGAGCGGCGGACGGGUGAGUAAUACUUAGGAAUCUACCUAGUAGUGGGGGAUAGCUCGGGGAAACUCGAAUUAAUACCGCAUACGUCCUACGGGAGAAAGCAGGGGAUCAUUAGACCUUGCGCUAUUAGAUGAGCCUAAGUCGGAUUAGCUAGAUGGUGGGGUAAAGGCCUACCAUGGCGACGAUCUGUAGCUGGUCUGAGAGGAUGAUCAGCCACACCGGGACUGAGACACGGCCCGGACUCCUACGGGAGGCAGCAGUGGGGAAUAUUGGACAAUGGGGGGAACCCUGAUCCAGCCAUGCCGCGUGUGUGAAGAAGGCCUUUUGGUUGUAAAGCACUUUAAGCAGUGAAGAAGACUCUUCGGUUAAUACCCGGGGACGAUGACAUUAGCUGCAGAAUAAGCACCGGCUAACUCUGUGCCAGCAGCCGCGGUAAUACAGAGGGUGCAAGCGUUAAUCGGAAUUACUGGGCGUAAAGCGAGCGUAGGUGGCUUGAUAAGUCAGAUGUGAAAUCCCCGGGCUUAACCUGGGAACUGCAUCUGAAACUGUUAGGCUAGAGUAGGUGAGAGGGAAGUAGAAUUUCAGGUGUAGCGGUGAAAUGCGUAGAGAUCUGAAGGAAUACCGAUGGCGAAGGCAGCUUCCUGGCAUCAUACUGACACUGAGGCUCGAAAGCGUGGGUAGCAAACAGGAUUAGAUACCCUGGUAGUCCACGCCGUAAACGAUGUCUACUAGUCGUUGGGUCCCUUGAGGACUUAGUGACGCAGCUAACGCAAUAAGUAGACCGCCUGGGGAGUACGGCCGCAGGUAAAACUCAAAUGAAUUGACGGGGGCCCGCACAAGCGGUGGAGCAUGUGGUUUAAUUCGAUGCAACGCGAAGAACCUUACCUGGUCUUGACAUACACAGAAUCUUGUAGAGAUACGAAAGUGCCUUCGGAA
RNAcentral lists this ribosomal RNA (1006 nucleotides) under Psychrobacter piscidermidis. RNAcentral's name for it is "bacterial SSU rRNA". It matches the Rfam family "Bacterial small subunit ribosomal RNA", at positions 29 to 1026 of the family's 1533-position model. Lineage: Bacteria; Pseudomonadati; Pseudomonadota; Gammaproteobacteria; Moraxellales; Moraxellaceae. The record is from RNAcentral.